Long non-coding RNA from Musa acuminata AAA Group (dessert banana), 2300 nucleotides. RefSeq lists it as uncharacterized. The record is from RefSeq and is a predicted model, not a curated record. Lineage: Eukaryota; Viridiplantae; Streptophyta; Magnoliopsida; Zingiberales; Musaceae. The transcript has 2 exons.
CAGCAUCGCACAUUCUAUAUGUUGAUGACACCUUUUCGAUGAUGACCUGUACAUCUUCCACAUUUUUGUAGUGGAAGACAAUGAAAUUUAUGCUCGAAAUGGCCCCAUUCCAGUGGAACUCGUUGAUGGUGCAGGGAACUAGAUAUGCCCCUUUGGUUGUACCACACUUAACUUGCUGCCACCACAUGAAGCCCAAAUAGUUGUGCAUGCAUAGAAGAUGGCGAUGCUGUAGGGCACAAAACUAGAAGACUUUUUAUAGUGGGGAAAGGAAUUAGGUACGUGGGGGCACGUCAAAGGCAUUUGAAAUGAUCGAUACAGACUAUAUAAUGAGGAAUCCAACAUGUAGAGAGAAGAAUGAUACUUGAAAGUAGGACGGUGACAAACGUAGUGAGGGGAGUCCAUCUCCCUCGCUACGUAUUCCUCUCUACCAACUUUCUGUGAUAGUAUUUUGCACCGAACCCAUGUCUCGGACAAGCAAAGAGUGAGAGAGAUGCUCACUUGGUCGACUAUCACGUUGACACACACAAGUCCGUAUUUGCUCAGUAGUAGCUUACCAUCUCCGAGUCGUCAAUGGAGACCGGUUCGGCUGCAUAAAGAUAACUCUGCCCUUCGCUGACCCGAAUAGAGAAGAAUUUAGGAUGGCGACGGAACUGAAGCUGUUCCGGAAUGCCGGCCAAUCUCAAAGAUCAAGAUUUGUGGUGUUCGUCACUUUCUUUCUCUAUGACCUUCAUGGUGAUGCCGCGGCCUCUCACUUCCCCAUCUCGUAUGUUCCUCCGAUCUCGGCCACUUUUCCUCUCUGCUGAUUCUGCUUGGUUCCAUUAGUUUGCUUACGAAGCUCUGCCGCCAAAUGUGUCAUUAUGUUCACUGGCAUUGCGGUCAGCUCAAUGCUGCGUCCUCAGAGAUCAGAAUGUUUUCCUGCCAAAGCAAGGUAGAAAAGCCAGUUGCAAUGCUCUGCUUAUGAUCUGCGAACUACAGCAUGCAAAGCUAUUCUUCACUCGAGUUCAUCUCCGCAAGAAAAUAGGGAACAUCAAGAGAACCAGCUCAGAUGAAAUUUAGGAAAGCAAGUACAAGAAAACUGCAACAUCAGAAGUUAAGAAACCAAAUCUGGUGAAGUUAAUAUGCAGAAGUAAUUUUGGUUUUAAAUGAUAAAGAUUAAAAACGAGGGGAGGCAGCAGAAGUCCAUAAACAUGUUGUUGUGAUGCUACUCUGGUCUUUGAAUCCAUCUUCGAAUACACAUGCAUACACGAAACAUGCAUAGGUGAGGACGAGAGAGGGGCGCAGGAAGGACAAUUAUCGAUCCACCAUUUGCAUCGUGCUCCACGCCAUCCCGACGUAAAAAAGAGCUGCUCUGCAAGUCUGCGAAAUAGCCAUUGCAGCGGACGGACGCCCCACCGGCAUGAUGGAGCAAUAAUAUACUGUGUGGCAUGUGAUCUCUACGCAGAAUUGCCUUAUAAUGUGACAAGCGGCUGCUCUCCCGAGAAUCACCACAAAGUUGAAGCAGUAAAACUUGGCCUUUUUCUUUUGCUUUUAGCUGGUUGGCCCCAGGUCAUGAUCAUUACCUGAGGAUGCUACUUCCAAGAAUAGAUUCUGCUGAUCCUUGGCUGCCCAUGGUGAUGAUGAGCCUUCUUUUCCUUGCAAGUUUCUUCAGCUGCGAUAUGGGAUUCAUUCGUCGGUAAAAGAGAGAACGGUGACCACUUACGCGAGAGGUGGCUUCUUGGUGUGGGCACGCAGUUGCCAUCCUUCUCUGAUAGCUCCUCGACACCAAACCAAAAUGGCUGAAUAGCAUGUUCAUGCAUCUGAUUUGACUUCUGCCAAAUCUGAUUUGACAACUAUUGCAGAUUGGUAACCAUGUAUCUUUCAACUCUCUUGCGAUAAUGUCGAGAGACUUCAUUAGGCAUCCCUAAUCUCACACUCUCCUAAAAAGAUUGUAAGCUGCAGUACACUAUGUUUACGCAGAAUGCAGGAAAUAAUAUGAAUCUAUGAUCCCGUAUCCCAUAUACCAACAUAUCCCAGUUCCCACGAGGCAAUAAUUGGAGAUCACAAAGAAGUGGCAUCAAUAGUUAAGCAAGCAUCCUCCAACAAAGUUGGCAUCAGACUUUUGGGUAGCCAUGAAUGAGAUGUGUCAAUCUGCAGGCAAUGUGCCAAGUUCUUAUGCCCUGAGAUAACUCCUUUGAUUCAAUUUCCCAGUAUGAGUGACUAAUUACACCUGUGUAAGAUCCAAAUGCUAUUGUCCGAUCCAGAGGCACACUUGGAAGAAUUUUCUUGCAGCCAGAUAAAAACCGAAUGCAAAAAAAAUAAAA